GAACGGCCACAUUGGGACUGAGACACGGCCCAAACUCCUACGGGAGGCAGCAGUGGGGAAUAUUGCACAAUGGGGGAAACCCUGAUGCAGCGACGCCGCGUGAGUGAAGAAGUAUUUCGGUAUGUAAAGCUCUAUCAGCAGGGAAGAAAUACUGACCAUAGGGUCAGCAGACGGUACUUGACUAAGAAGCCCCGGCUAACUACGUGCCAGCAGCCGCGGUAAUACGUAGGGGGCAAGCGUUAUCCGGAUUUACUGGGUGUAAAGGGAGCGUAGACGGCAGCGCAAGUCUGAAGUGAAAUGCCAGGGCUUAACCCUGGAACUGCUUUGGAAACUGUGCAGCUAGAGUGCAGGAGAGGUAAGUGGAAUUUCUAGUGUAGCGGUGAAAUGCGUAGAUAUUAGGAGGAACACCAGUGGCGAAGGCGGCUUACUGGACUGUAACUGACGUUGAGGCUCGAAAGCGUGGGGAGCAAACAGGAUUAGAUACCCUGGUAGUCCACGCUGUAAACG
RNAcentral lists this ribosomal RNA (507 nucleotides) under uncultured bacterium. Its description in RNAcentral is "bacterial SSU rRNA". It matches the Rfam family "Bacterial small subunit ribosomal RNA", at positions 302 to 808 of the family's 1533-position model. The record is from RNAcentral.